GAUGAACGCUGGCGGCGUGCCUAAUACAUGCAAGUCGAGCGAACAGACGAGGAGCUUGCUCCUCUGACGUUAGCGGCGGACGGGUGAGUAACACGUGGAUAACCUACCUAUAAGACUGGGAUAACUUCGGGAAACCGGAGCUAAUACCGGAUAAUAUAUUGAACCGCAUGGUUCAAUAGUGAAAGACGGUUUUGCUGUCACUUAUAGAUGGAUCCGCGCCGCAUUAGCUAGUUGGUAAGGUAACGGCUUACCAAGGCGACGAUGCGUAGCCGACCUGAGAGGGGGGUCGGCGAACGGGGAGUGGAGACACGGGCGAGAGGAGUACGGGAGGAGGGAGGAGGGGAGGUGGAGCAAGGGGCGAAAGCCUGACGAAGCAAUGACGAGGGAGGAAAGAAGGUCUUCGUAGCUUAAAACUCGGUUAGGAUGGAAGAACAAAUGUGGAGGUAACAAUGCACGUCUUGACGGUAAGGAAUCAGAAAGACAAGGCGAACUACGUG
Molecule: ribosomal RNA, 497 nt
Filed under: uncultured bacterium
Lineage: Bacteria
Description: partial 16S ribosomal RNA
Rfam family: Bacterial small subunit ribosomal RNA
Source: RNAcentral